Molecule: ribosomal RNA, 466 nt
Filed under: uncultured bacterium
Lineage: Bacteria
Description: partial 16S ribosomal RNA
Rfam family: Bacterial small subunit ribosomal RNA
Source: RNAcentral
GAUGAACGCUGGCGGCGUGCUUAACACAUGCAAGUCGAGCGAUGAAGCCCAGCUUUCUGUGUGGUUUCGUUGCGAACGGGCGAGUGACUCGUGAGUAACCUGCCCUUAUCUCUGGGAUAAGUCUGUUCAACUAGGCCUAGUACCUGCUAGGUGCUCCUACCGCAUGGUUGGUGUUGGAAUGAUAUAUCGGUUUUGGAUGGACUCGCGGUCGAUCAGCUCGUUAGUGGGGUAAUGGCACACCAAGGCCAUGACGGGUAGCCGGCCUGGGACGGUCACCGGCCACCAGGGGACUGCGGCACGGACCAGUAUCCUAUGGGAGGCAGCGGGCGGGAACAUUGCGGAGUGGGGGAAAGUGUGAGGCAGCGGUGCCGCGUGCGGGAUGACGGCCUACGGGUUGUAAACCUAUUUCAGUAGGGAAGUAGAGAACGUGACGGUACCUGCACAAGAAGCACCGGCUAACUACGUG